CCCUAUUAUUUUUAAUUUAAACUAUUACCUAAAAACAGAUAUUUUCUUUAAAUUUAAAGAAUUUGGCGGUAAUUUAAUCUAACUAGAGGAACAUGUUCUGUAAUCGAUGCAACACGUUUAAUUUCACUUAAUUUAAAGUUUGUAUACCUUCAUUAUCAAAUAAUACUUAAAGGUAGUUAUUACAUUUGAUUCAAUUAAAAAAAUUAGAUCACGGUGCAGCUUAUAAAUAAGGAAGAAUGGGUUACAAUAAAAUUAUUUAUUACGAAUUAUAAACUGAAAUUUUUAUAUGAAGGAGGAUUUAGUUGUAUUUUUAAUUUAACAAAUUAAAAAGAUAUAAGUUCUAAAUUGUGUACAC
RNAcentral lists this ribosomal RNA (355 nucleotides) under Neorhynchoplax bovis. RNAcentral's name for it is "partial 12S ribosomal RNA". The record is from RNAcentral. Lineage: Eukaryota; Metazoa; Arthropoda; Malacostraca; Decapoda; Hymenosomatidae.